CAUCCCAGUUCGGAUUGCAGGCUGCAACCCGCCUGUAUGAAGUUGGAAUCGCUAGUAAUCGCGGAUCAGCAUGCCGCGGUGAAUACGUUCCCGGGCCUUGUACACACCGCCCGUCACACCAUGAGAGUCGGGAACACCCGAAGUCCGUAGCCUAACCGCAAGGAGGGCGCGGCCGAAGGUGGGUUCGAUAAUUGGGGUGAAGUCGUAACAAGGUACC
Molecule: ribosomal RNA, 217 nt
Filed under: uncultured bacterium
Lineage: Bacteria
Description: partial 16S ribosomal RNA
Rfam family: Bacterial small subunit ribosomal RNA
Source: RNAcentral